UCCCCCUUUGAAGAAAAACACCUCCUGCAAUUUGAAAGCUUGCUCCUACUUGCACCUAAACCACUCCUUGCUGUGACUGUUUUCUAUUUCCAUGGGGCUUUGUAUGAAAGGGAGCAUUCAAAAAUGGAAGCAUUCAAAAAUAAUAUCUCCCACCUGAAGUCUGAAGUAGUCCAGUCCAUUCUAUUUGCUCAGAACUUCCCUAUCUCUUUCUGCUGUGUAUGUAAAACAGACCUUAGGCAGCAGAAUAAAGUGGUAAAAUCUUGAGGGACCUGAGGGCAGAGUGGAGUGGAUCAUGCCAGACACUUAUUAUGGUCCAAACUUGAAAAAACUACAAGAGACAAGAGACUGUUAUUCCUGUUGAUGCAGCUCUAUUCCACAUCUUCAUUACAGGCAAAGAAGAAGAGUUUCAAGCUAUAUGGUGAACAUUUAAUGAAUUGUAUGUGCUUUAGAAGAGCCAAGAUGUUAGCAGUGCCAAAGGAGGUCCCAGCAAGAUGCACUAUGAACACUGGGAAGGAGCGAUAAUGGUGGACUGUGAAUCUUCUGCAGGGAGAUUGCAUCCCUUUUUAAGUUCUCUACUCUAACGUUGUGGGAUAGUGGCUAAAGCAGUGGACUUCAGCUUGCACAGUGGUAGUGCAUCUGCUUUGCAUGCGGAAGGUCCCAGGUUCAAUCCCUUGGAUUUCCAAUUAGGACAGGGAAAGACUCCUGUGUGAAACCUUGGAGCGCUGCUGCCAGUCAACGUAGACGAUGCUGAGCAAGGUGGACGGAUCUAGAUAGAUCUUUCAUGUACAAAGAUGGUGCACCUCUGGUCACCAGAUCUUAGAGCCAAACAAGAGGGGAUGGUCAUCAAUUGUACUGACCGUUGACCUUUUAUGAAAAGUGGUGAAUAAAUUUAAUAGAUGGUAAGAAUUCAUAAUAGCAGCCUGCCAAGUUGCUUGUGACGUUUCCAAAUUAAUCAAGUGAUUCCUCCCCCCACCCCCAUAUGGGUACAGCUUCACCUUCUUACAAGAUACUUUAUUUGUGAGAUAUUUAUUUAUUUAUUUAUUUAUUUAUUUAUUUAUUUAUUUAAUUUUUAUACUGCCCUAGCCAAAGGCUCUUCUUAACAGAGAUUGAUUGUAUCUUCAGCUUUUGAGUGUUUUUUUUCAGUAGAUCUUUGGAUUUCAUUCAUUUGAUUGAUUGAUUGAUUGAUAUACCACCUUCCAAAAAUGGCUCAGGGCAUUUUACUAUGGAUGAAAAUGGCGAUAUAAGCUGAAAAACAGUAUUUCAGACUAUGUUCUAAUUAUCUAAUUCUAGAAUCAACAUGUGUGUACACACACACACACACACACACACACACACACGCUUAUUCUUUUGAUUUUGUGUGUGUGUAAUCCCCUGAUGAAGAGCAUCAGAUCAAAAUGUGUUAUGAUUCCUCAGUAAAAAAAAUCCCAUAAGGAAGUUUCUUAAUUUCAUAUAUUCUUUGAAACAGUUGAUCUUUUUGAUCUUUUUUUCCAUUUCCAAAUGAUGCUUUCAUACAUUAUCCCACUUGACAAAACCCUGAUUUUUUUUUUUUCAAAUCCUCAAGAGAUCUGAGAGCCUAACUAGAUGUCCCAGGGAAUGAAUGGCUGCCACCAACCAAUGACUUUCCGAUGCAUCUCCCUAUCAUAUUUAAUAGAACAAAUCAGCCAGCACAGUGUAGUGGUUAAAGUGUUGGACUAGGACCGUGGAGACCCAGUUUCAAAUCGUCAUUCAGCCAUAGGAACAUAGGCAGCUGCCAUUUGCUAUGUUAGACCAUAGCUCCAUCUAGCUCAGUAUUGUCUACACAGAUUGGCUGCGGCUUCUCUAAGGCAGGGGUGUGCAUGGA
Molecule: long non-coding RNA, 1840 nt
Organism: Hemicordylus capensis (graceful crag lizard)
Lineage: Eukaryota; Metazoa; Chordata; Lepidosauria; Squamata; Cordylidae
Exons: 4
Source: RefSeq, a predicted model, not a curated record